GAUCGCGUAGCUCAGUUGGCAGAGCAUUGGGCUGGUAUUCCAAAGGUCGUAUGUUCGAUUCCCACCGUGGCCG
Molecule: transfer RNA, 73 nt
Filed under: Paramuricea clavata
Lineage: Eukaryota; Metazoa; Cnidaria; Anthozoa; Malacalcyonacea; Plexauridae
Rfam family: tRNA
About the family: Transfer RNA (tRNA) molecules are approximately 80 nucleotides in length. Their secondary structure includes four short double-helical elements and three loops (D, anti-codon, and T loops).
Source: Rfam by way of RNAcentral